Long non-coding RNA from Contarinia nasturtii (swede midge), 660 nucleotides. RefSeq lists it as uncharacterized. The transcript has 2 exons. Lineage: Eukaryota; Metazoa; Arthropoda; Insecta; Diptera; Cecidomyiidae. The record is from RefSeq and is a predicted model, not a curated record.
UGUAAAUUGUACAUACAGAAAGCCACUGUCUGUCAUAAAAGUCGCAUUGUGGAAAACAGCGUAUUUUCUUUGGCACCCGACAGUUGUUAAUUGACGUCUGCCCGUUAUAGCACUUUCGAAAAACAAUUUUGGUAAAUUUCAACAGGCAUCAAUAUGAGUAAAACAAUUGAUCGUGAUAGCGAUUCGGAUAAAGAAGUAUGGUUGCGUUGUAAGUACUGUUCAGUGGAUAUACCGAAAUGGGCGAUGGAACAGCAUGAACUCGAAGAGCACCAGUGUCGAUAUUGUGAAUUUAAAUAUCCAAAUGAAUUUUUGCCCAAUCAUGUAUUGAGAAUGCAUUCACGACUCUGCGAAUAUUGUGAAUAUAAAAUCCGAGUGGAUCUAUUCGAUGCACACAUUCAACAAGAGCAUCACCAUGAAGCAAGCGUUUGCCGUGUGUCUGGCCUCACCGAUGACCAAUUCAACGAAAUGAUCAAACAGAAUCUGAUUUUUGUGCGUGACGGUGUCAUUUAUGCCUAUAGACUAUGAAAUUGACAUCAAAGGAAGCACACCUUGGCAGAAAGACCAUGGCAGAUGGACAGAAACUAAAGCAUAUUCAGUUGAAUUGUUGGUUUUUCUUUCUGGAAAUUUAUGCAAAUAAAACUGAACAUUUGAGAUUGAAAA